RNAcentral lists this ribosomal RNA (408 nucleotides) under uncultured bacterium. RNAcentral's name for it is "bacterial SSU rRNA". It matches the Rfam family "Bacterial small subunit ribosomal RNA", at positions 30 to 436 of the family's 1533-position model. The record is from RNAcentral.
AUUGAACGCUGGCGGCAGGCCUAACACAUGCAAGUCGAGCGGUAGAGAGAAGCUUGCUUCUCUUGAGAGCGGCGGACGGGUGAGUAAUGCCUAGGAAUCUGCCUGGUAGUGGGGGAUAACGUUCGGAAACGGACGCUAAUACCGCAUACGUCCUACGGGAGAAAGCAGGGGACCUUCGGGCCUUGCGCUAUCAGAUGAGCCUAGGUCGGAUUAGCUAGUUGGUGAAGUAAUGGCUCACCAAGGCGACGAUCCGUAACUGGUCUGAGAGGAUGAUCAGUCACACUGGAACUGAGACACGGUCCAGACUCCUACGGGAGGCAGCAGUGGGGAAUAUUGGACAAUGGGCGAAAGACCUGAUCCAGCCAUGCCGCGUGUGUGAAGAAAGGUCUUCGGAUUGUAAAGCACUUU